Molecule: long non-coding RNA, 3696 nt
Organism: Nilaparvata lugens (brown planthopper)
Lineage: Eukaryota; Metazoa; Arthropoda; Insecta; Hemiptera; Delphacidae
Exons: 3
Source: RefSeq, a predicted model, not a curated record
GUAAGACCUAAUCCUUAUCAGGGCUGCUUUGUGCUCUCUACAUCCUCCCAGCUCCCACAGUCUUUCUCUCUUUUUCAACCAUCAAAUGUAAUCACGAUACAGAAGUAAUGAGGUAGAGGAGAAAACGAAUGUUGUGGAGGAAUGGAGGAGGAGAAGGCUCAUCAAUUAUCAAAGCUUCACUCACUCCACUGGAUUUGCAUUUUAAUAACCAAUUGCAGUAUGAACAUUUCCACCAUGAUCUGCCUUCUUCUCUUCAAGGUUAAUGCUUUACAUCUACCCUGUAGAUCCGAAUUUGUUUGACAUAAGGCGACAAAUUCGGUUCUAGAGAGGUUUGUGUGGUGCAUAUACAAUACGACUAAACAACCAUCAACCUCUACCAACUACUACCGCAACUUCAAUUGAAGAUCCUCCUCCAAAAUUCUAUAAUAUAAUCUACUAUAGUUUGUAAGUAAAAUAAAUAGUGUAAGAUACUUGAAUUAAUUAUUUAUCAGAAACUGUAUCAUUUGAAUGAAAUUAGAUUACUUGAAUUGAUUGAUCAAUAUCAAUCUAACCAUCAAGAUCUAGUUUCAAAUUCAUCAUAUUUUCAGUACCUGUUCAACUGAAUAUGAGUCCCCUCGCAUAGUAAUAAGGUAUAAUAUAAUUUGAUAUAGAUGUAAGUAGAAUAGAUAAGUAAGAUACUCUAAUUAAUUAUUCAUUUAGAAACGUAUCUUUCAAAUAAAAUUGGUUCUCUCAAACUGCUUGAACGGUAGCUAAUGUGUAGAAUAUGGAUAUGACCACAAUUGAUGAGUUAUAGUAGGCCUAGCAGUUAUCUUUUAAAAAAGAAACCUUGCAUUGAAAGCUUUAAUUAUUGUAAAAUUAAUUUUUAUUUAAUUGAUAAUUUUUUUAAAAAUUGUAACAAAAGGGAACGAUGUAAUCUUUUUUUGGAAUAGAAGUAUUAUGCUACUGAUAUUUCUGUUAAUUACAUUAUUUCUUGUAUACUACUUGUAUCUUUGUUUUGAAUGAUGAGGAAAAUUUAUUAUUGAAUAUUAAUGAAGAUGUAUGGUCCUACUCUGCCUCAGAUGAGCAAUAGUUUUCCAGUAGUUAACUUUCAAUAGUUUUUUGCACUAGUAAAUGCCACCUUCACUUAAUUAUCCUAUAUUUCUCUUAUUGCAGUUACCUUUUUAUUUUACUUCCAAACCUCAAAUAUAUUUUCUCAGAUUCAUUCUCUGUCUUCUACUCUCUGAUUUUUAAUUUAUUUUUCUGACCACAAAUAUAAUAAUAUUGUAAUAUUUAUCUUCUAAGCCACAUAAUGGAAUUCAUCAUUCAGUAAUUAGGCUACUUAUAUUCAAGUGCAUCAAAUUUAAACUUUUGAAUUUACUUUUCCUUUUUAUUUAUACUAUGUUUAUUUAUAUUUCCUUUCAUAUGUAUAUUCUUUCUUGUUUCAUCUAUUCAUAUCUUCAUUGAAAUUUUUAUAUUGAAAAUUAAUAUCGAUACUCGCUGCCAGCACUCAAACUUCGGUUUUGCAGGCAGCGCCAAACAUGUUAUUUUAUUUUGACAAAGUUGUUUUUCGUGUAUAUUCAAAUAUUGAUCAAUAUGUUUUUUCAACUUUGUAUUGAGGAUUAUUAUUUUUGUUGUGGCGAAAUAAAAUUUGAAUUGAAUUGAAUUUUUCAGUAGUAGAUAGGCUUUCAAGAGUAGGUAACUUAUAGUAAGGUGUGUUGAGGUUAAGGUGUGUUGUGACUCAAAAUUUAUGCCCUCCAAGGGAGUAAUACAGUAAUUGUUCAUUCAAAAUCAAAUAUUUAUUUCUGACAUUACUAAUGAAUAUAAUAAAUAUGCGAAUAUUUCUACAGAAAUCUCAUUAGUAUAUCGUAACAUUUAUCUAAACUCAUUGAAUAUUGUAUUGCAUUGAAUAGAUAAAAUUGAUGAUAUUUUUUCAAUACAUACGGUAUGCAUUUUUGUAAGAAUACGGUACUUGUUUUGUAUGAACUUGUUUAUCAGUUAUAAUUAUUUUAUGAAAAUAAUCCUUUUGGACCAACAUUGUAUCAAUCAAUCAAACACAAUAUUUUAUUGUAUUAUAAUAGUAUUAAUAGGAUUCCGUAUUGUAUCCACAUCAGACACUAUACCAAUACUAGAAAUGUUUUUCAUAAGGCUAGUACAAUGCUGCUGAAACUCAGCAAUAAGAGAUUUCUUGCAUUUAAAAUGUUCCAAUAUUACAUAACAAUAGGCUUAUUAGAGAAAAAAUAUGGCCUAGUGGUUGAUAGAGUAUUUUGUUGAAAAUUAUUACAUGAAUUCACGUUGUGUAUUCAAGUGAGUUUUUCUGGAAACUACUUAACAAUAUUAUAAUGAUUUUAUUAUUAACAAAUUUAUUAUAUUUUUUUAUCUAGGAGGUAGAUAGCCUAAUCUUAUUAUUGAAUGUCAAGAAGUAAUGAAUAAAUUUGAAUGUGUACCAAGAAUACCAAUUCCAAAAAAAUAUUUUUAUCUAAGGAAUGAAUAUAUAUCGAUCAGAUUAUUGAAAAAUCUGGCUACAUCAUCUUCUAAGAGUACCGUAUAUAUAACAUUAAAGUCACGAAAGAAUAAAUCCCUCAAAAGGAUAACACAAUAAAAUUGUAUUUCGCUAUAAUUAUAAUUUUUAUGGCGCUCAUUUUACAUGUAUUCCACUCAUGAAAAGAUGAAAAUCCUCCAUCAGUGAAAGUAUUAUCCACAAUAAGUGAGUGAAUAAAUUAUAUUCACAGUAGAAUGCAUACCAUUCUCUAUGACAUAUGCUCUGGUUCUGUAGCUUGGUAAUAAUAUUUCGUGUUUGUUAAUUAUUGUUUUCCAUAGCUUAAAUAAUUAGAAUAUUGUACUUGACACCACUGGUCUAUAUUUAAUCCAAGUUAUAGACUACUGAAUCUGAGCAUAUCUUAUUUUGAAAUUGCAAGCUCCUUUUCUGCUUCUAUAAUUCGAAGAAAUCAAUAACAAUUCCCAUUGAAAAAUUAUUACAUUCAAUUUAUUUCACUCAAGCAUUCCUGUGUCUUAAAAUAUUAUAAUGAGUAUAAAUAUUAUAGCCAUAUAUUACAAUAAGAAUAUAAAUGCUAAUUGUUGCUAAGUACAUUGUAGUAAUCCUGUAUGAUAUUAUAUUUAGAUUCUAAAACUAAUAAAAUUCAUUUCAGUUUUACUGACCAUGUAGGAUAUGAAAAUCAUUUUUGAAUAAUGUAUUCUCCUCACUUCAAAUAAACCAUGUUUUUUAUAGAGCACAUUUCGACAUUUUAAAGCUCUAUUAUGCAAGAGCAAUUUUAAUAUUAUAUCCAACUUUUUGUGAACAUAACACUUGUAGUCACCUAUUUUUUAUUGUCCAUGGAAUAAUAGUCAAUUAAUAAACUGUCCAAAAAUUAAAAUCGUUCCAUCGAAACAAUACCAAUAGAUUUGUAGGUAGUUCGAAUUUGUUUAAAAUUCAUCCAUUCGAAUAAUUUAGGCUAUUAACAUACUGUUAGCAUAGAGAAAGAAUAUCGUAAGUUGUAUCAGUUGUCUCAGCUAUUAGGCUAAGGGCGGAAAGUCCGAGCAACACUUAUAAAAUUAAAUGAAAAAAUGAUUUUUUUGGCGGAGUCAGGACUUUUAAGAGUACUCUCUAGCACUCAACCUCGAAAUGAGGUGAAUGAUCCCAGGAAUCUAUACACAGCACGGACCACACCUAUCAUGCAGCUUCCCGAUCCCACUCCGAUCCGAUCAGAUAUGAUCAGUGAU